GGCAACAGCUCAAAUUUGAAAUCUGCCCGCAAGGGCCGAGUUGUAAUUUAGAGAAGUGUUACCCGUGCUGGGCCGUGUACAAGUCUCCUGGAAUGGAGCGUCAUAGAGGGUGAGAAUCCCGUCUUUGACACGGAAUCCAGUACAUUGUGGUGCGCUCUCAAA
RNAcentral lists this ribosomal RNA (162 nucleotides) under Physalacriaceae sp. RNAcentral's name for it is "partial large subunit ribosomal RNA". It matches the Rfam family "Eukaryotic large subunit ribosomal RNA", at positions 100 to 261 of the family's 3401-position model. The record is from RNAcentral. Lineage: Eukaryota; Fungi; Basidiomycota; Agaricomycetes; Agaricales; Physalacriaceae.